RNAcentral lists this ribosomal RNA (812 nucleotides) under uncultured Bacillota bacterium. RNAcentral describes it as "bacterial SSU rRNA". It matches the Rfam family "Bacterial small subunit ribosomal RNA", at positions 75 to 866 of the family's 1533-position model. The record is from RNAcentral. Lineage: Bacteria; Bacillati; Bacillota.
UCCCGCAAGGGACUAGUAGAGUGGCAAACGGGUGAGUAACACGUGGGUGACCUGCCUUCGAGUGGGGGAUAACGUCCCGAAAGGGACGCUAAUACCGCAUGACAUCCUGCCCUUGAAUGGGUGGAGAUCAAAGCUGGGGAUCGCAAGACCUAGCGCUUGAAGAGGGGCCCGCGUCCGAUUAGCUAGUUGGUGAGGUAACGGCUCACCAAGGCAACGAUCGGUAGCCGGCCUGAGAGGGCGGACGGCCACACUGGGACUGAGACACGGCCCAGACUCCUACGGGAGGCAGCAGUGGGGAAUUGUUCACAAUGGGCGCAAGCCUGAUGACGCAACGCCGCGUGGAGGAUGAAGAUCUUCGGGUCGUAAACUCCUUUCGAUCGAGACGAAUGGCUUCCGGGCUAAUCACCGGGAGAAUGACGGUACCGAGAGAAGAAGCCCCGGCUAACUCCGUGCCAGCAGCCGCGGUAAUACGGGGGGGGCAAGCGUUGUUCGGAAUUACUGGGCGUAAAGGGCUCGUAGGCGGCCAACUAAGUCAGACGUGAAAUCCCUCGGCUUAACCGGGGAACUGCGUCUGAUACUGGAUGGCUUGAGGUUGGGAGAGGGAUGCGGAAUUCCAGGUGUAGCGGUGAAAUGCGUAGAUAUCUGGAGGAACACCGGUGGCGAAGGCGGCAUCCUGGACCAAUUCUGACGCUGAGGAGCGAAAGCCAGGGGAGCAAACGGGAUUAGAUACCCCGGUAGUCCUGGCCCUAAACGAUGAAUGCUUGGUGUGGCGGGUAUCGAUCCCUGCCGUGCCGAAGCUAACGCAUUAAGCA